UUUAAUUGAAGAGUUUGAUCAUGGCUCAGAUUGAACGCUGGCGGCAGGCCUAACACAUGCAAGUCGAGCGGAAACGACGAUAAAGAUUCUUCG
Molecule: ribosomal RNA, 93 nt
Filed under: Ferrimonas sediminum
Lineage: Bacteria; Pseudomonadati; Pseudomonadota; Gammaproteobacteria; Alteromonadales; Ferrimonadaceae
Description: 16S rRNA. Bacterial SSU
Rfam family: Bacterial small subunit ribosomal RNA
Source: RNAcentral